ACAAACCCCUGCCGGGAAGUGCUGCCCGUCCGGAUGGCUGCUCGGAAAGGCCUCAAGGGAGCAAGAGACCCCAAAAAGAGCCUCUUUCACCCCUUUUCACUUUCCUGCUCGGUGGUGGGCUUUGUGAUCUCUGUAAAGUAUCCCUGUGGUAGGAACUUCAAGAAGCGUUCCCAGCAAAACAGUUCGGUGCUAACCAUUUGGGACAGUUUCCUGAGGGGUCACUUUGCUGUCUGAUCCUCAUAGGAUUAAGUCAACAUGAAUGCUCUCACUGCUUUUUCCUCUUCCUUCCCAUCUCUCUCUGUCAGGAUGACUGAUGUUAUUCAGCGACUGUCUUGUUUGUUUUCCUAAAAUCUAAAUUAGGUAGCACUUAGUCAAAAUUUUGUCCUGGUGCCAUCACUUAUGAACCAACACAAAACAGACAGAUGCCUAAAUCCAUGUCAGCCCCCAGAACUGAGCUUGUUCUACAUCAGCAGUUUAUCAGUAUUCCGUAGGCUGCCCUUCUAGCAAGCAACACUCCUUCACCCUGCAGCUUUGGCCCUCAUGCAACAUUCUGAAGAAAUUUCAUGUCUCUGAUCCCCAGGGAUUGAAAACCCCUCAGAGUGCUGAUCCUCAGAGCAAGCACUGCACCAGCAGGUCCCCUGAGCCCUUACCAAAGUGGCUGCAUCAUCAAGGGAGAGGACAGAUGCUCCCACAGAAAGGCAUGUACUGUGUAUGCUUCUCGGUGUUUUAAAGGCCAGGGGGGCUAUUUUUAGAGCUGAAACAACAUUCCUCCUGCUUUGGCAUUUCAAAUCUUGUGUUAUCCUGAACUAAUAAAUGUUUCCUUCAGCAUUUGCUUUUUUGCAACCCCACAAAAUCCAGAGAUCUUGGCCAAGUUUCCCCUCUGCAUGCACCUGACACUGCCCCAUGGCACUGCCACGCUGAGGAGCCACAAGUGACUUCCAGGCAUGGCUUCCUCCGUGUCACCAAGAGAGGCCCCAAAAUCUGGUGCCCGGAAAAAAAAUAUGCUUGAGGUAUCAGCAUUAACCACAUCCCUCCCUGCAAGGCUUCUUGUGACAGCAAGAGUCGAGGAAGCUCACUUUAAAAGUAAUUGAGGGGAGGUCUUUGAAUCCCAGUACCCUUCAGCAGCUGAGGCUGAAAAAAAUCUUCUGCCAAAAGGUGAGAAGUGACAGUGCUCUGGCCAAAGUGCCCCAGCGAUUUUGGCCAGAAAGGAAAAUGCAGAAACUGCCUUAGUCACUUCACCUCUGCUGUCAGCCAGUGCUGGAAGGGAAACAAUGCACCAUAUGGGAUUUUAAGGCAAUUGCAUUUUUGGUAAACUCUGAGUGUCUGAGACAUUUUGUUCACAGCUCCUUUUUGAGCAGAUGGUGUCCCUCUGAGUGCUGGGAAACGCAUGAUGCUGACAGGCCCACCAAAAACCUAUCACAAAUUUAAAAAUCACAGCUUGAAAAAAGGGCACAGCCUGGGGACAGCAAGCAUGUGUUGGAGCCCACCCAGUGCAGAAAGCAAGAGAGAUGCAGGGAGGCAUCAGCCAUAAGGGUUGAUGUUAUGUGGGUCCUUGGAGACAUUUCCUACAAUGAUUUCUUCAUGGAACACCAUUGGAGGUGCAGCCCCUCUCCCACAACCCUCAUCCUGCAAAGCAAAGCAAUCUCAUGCCCCUCUAGUUGUUGUCCUUCCCAAGGUGAAAUUACCAUUGAAGACUGGCUGUGGUUAGCCUGGGUUUUUUUGGGAGGAAAAGGUACACAAAGAUGAGGAAAAUAAAAACGGGAAUUGCCAUGAGUUUGCUUUCAUUUCUGGGAGAUACAUGUCUUCUGAAACUAUAUUUGCCGCCUUUUCCUCCUGUCCUGCUCCUUUCUGCUCCAAAGGUGGAGUGAGGCCUGACAGGAAAGGUUGCCCGCCCAGAAAGAGGAGCAGUGGGGAAAUGGGCCUGGGGACCACUCAGCAGCAGCCAGUGGAGCUGCUCCACACCCCGAGGCUUGUAUGAAAUACAGUUAAAACUGUUAAGUACCAGUUAAAACUGUUUCUCAGUUGAAGUGUUAACCCUCAUUUCAUUAGUCAGAUCAUCUCCUAUCAAGCCAUCUGUUCCUUUAUCGAGCUUUUCAAAUAUUGUGAUAGAUUUCAUAUCUCCACAUGCCCUGCUGAUAAACAGAUGCCACCUAAGCAAGCCCACCUGUGGCUUGGUUGUGACAAGAUUAGAUCCUCCUCUAGAGAUUGUGCCAAAUCCCAGGGGUCCCAGGGCAGUCCAGAGUUGCUUGAGCCACCCCAUGCCAGAAAGCUGCUGACCUGCUUGGGAGUUUCCACUUGGAAGGAGCGCACAGCUCCAGAGCCAACGCUGAAUUUCAUAAGGGCCCCAGCAGUUCUGGGAAAAGGUAAAACCAAUCCAGUGCCUGCUGUGUGCCAGAGCUGAGAGCCUGGAGACAGUGCAACAGUGCAGGAGGCAAGGGACAAAUACCUGCUCCCACUGCUAAGGGCUGUUAUUCCAGAUGGGUCACGGUGCCAGGAGCAGAGUUAGAGACAACACAAGGUCAGGCACCACAGACCAUCGGGUCUCAGAAGACAGUCACUGGCUAAGUCCAGCCUACAGCCAGCCACCAAUCCACCAGCAGUCCCUCAACCCUUCUGCACUGCUCAGAAAGCUCUAGCCAGCUUUCAACAAUCAAAUCAGCAAGAGAAGUGCCAACGUCCACAGAAAUAAGUGCAGCUCAUGCCCUAGUACCCACCCUGCCAAGGCUCCACAACUUCCCCACAUCACUUCAUUCAACAGUGGAUGAAUCCUGUAGCUAUCCUGGGAAAUGGCAGUGGCCCUUCCUACAUCAUACUGAGGAAGAGAAAACCACACUAAAGAACAUGACCCAACUGUUAAAAAAAAAUCAAAACAAAUUAGCAAAAAGUUCAAAACAAACACAAAAAUACAAACAAACAAAAAAAAGGCAAAAAAGGAAGUGCACAGAAGUAUUCAUUUUUUUAUCAAAAUUCAAGGCACCUCUUAAUAAAUCUAGUUUUCCUGUAAAGGCACUUUUUUAUCAACUCUACCACAUGGAUAAUUUAAUCUACAAAAAGAGGGAUUCAGGUAGCAUAAGCUUCCAGAUAAAGCAUUUGAUGGAGGAGCUUUUUCUUUUCUGAACAAUGUUUCUUUUCAGUUUCCAAAACUGAACUUGACAAUGGCUUCAAUUUCAGUUUUCAGAUCCCUGAAAUACACUGGAACUGCUGCUGCUUUUGAAGUCUUAUGCCUUGGGGGAGGGUGGGGGGAAUAUUACCUUGUAAUUUCAGGUACUCAGAGAGGUUCAGAACAGCAUGUGCCUCUUAGCAAGGCCCCUUAUUCUUCUUACAGCAGGCACUUGACAGGAACGAGCCUAAGGAAGUCCAAGCAGUAGCAGUACAAAAGAAAAAUUAUAAGGAUCAACAGGAAGCCGUGUAUCUUGGUGCAUUCCCUGUAGUUCUGCGGUCAGGAAAUUGCACAGAGGAAAGGAUGAGAGCAGCGGUGAGAUCAGGCAUUUGCACAUCUCCCAAGCUUCACUCCUACACUCACACCCCAAGCCCAAACCCAUUACACACAUCACUUUGAAGGCAGGUUCCCUAUGAUUUUUGCCAUGGAAAGAACAGUUCUAUCUUUCUAACCAGCAGGUCAGGAGCCUCUCAGCUCCAGGAGCCCAUUUCCACACCAUCCUGCAGGCACUGCAGCACGGGGUGGGGAGACAUCUCUUACUGUGUGUGUGUGUGUGUGUGUGUGUGUGUAAUUCCUCUGUCUGUCAAAUGGCUCUGAGUCUGGAUGAAUGCACAUCAAAACACAUCUUCAGGCACACCCACGUCUUCAGGCCCAUCUCAGCACAAACAAAGAGAACUUACAGCAAAAUCUAAAUAAAAUAUGUGAUAUUUUGGCCAAAGCACUGUCCUGUGAUCACACUGAGCUGGUAUUUUCUAUCAAAGCGGGAUUUUCACAUGCAAGAACUUGCCACGGUCUCCUUUCAAGAUUAUGUCGGCUUCCAGUUUCUUUUCCCCUCUAUCAGCUUGGCCAGGAAGCCCAAAGUAAUCAAAUUCCUCAGUGCCCUUCCAUUUGACAGCCUCCUCUUCCCCUGACAUUCAGAAAUGCUGAGGGGGGAGGUAUUUUGAGCUGCACCAAAUGUGUAGCUGGAAAUGCCAAGCGAAACACUGCUGUAAUUCUGAUGUGUGAUGCACAAAGACCUUUGCUUUGGGAGAUGUUUCAAAAUUAAACACAGUGGCCAGGCUAACUCAUAACUGUUUAUUGUAAAUCACUCAAGAGUUUACACAUCAUUAAUGGCAAAAGAACACUUUUAAAACACCUGCUGGAUGAAAGACAGAAUAAAGACAACUCUUUUAUAUUAUAUGGCAUCAUUUGAAAAACAAGAAACAGAACAAAAAAGAAACCAUUUUAUUUUUUUCCCCCACUUUUGCAUCUUUCCUGAAAAUAUCUGGGCCUGAGUCUCAGUUAUCUUGAGAUCCCUGCCUUGCCCAGGGUGUGGGGCUGUGUGUCUGGGAAGCAGGCACUCCCUCUCCGAGGGGCAAGGCAGUGACAUUCUUUAUAAAUGAAAAUCAUGCCCUCUAUCUUCAAAAGUGCUCCAGUGCUGACAGUAUAAAGCCUCUCUCCUGCACUGGCUAACAUCUAACACAAAGGGCUACAUGUCCCAUUAAAUCCACAUGCCUUUUUUUU
Molecule: long non-coding RNA, 4663 nt
Organism: Passer domesticus (house sparrow)
Lineage: Eukaryota; Metazoa; Chordata; Aves; Passeriformes; Passeridae
Exons: 2
Source: RefSeq, a predicted model, not a curated record